Molecule: small RNA, 111 nt
Filed under: Anaerobacillus arseniciselenatis
Lineage: Bacteria; Bacillati; Bacillota; Bacilli; Caryophanales; Bacillaceae
Description: Guanidine-I sequence
Rfam family: Guanidine-I riboswitch aptamer
About the family: This family represents a conserved RNA structure found upstream of the ykkC and yxkD genes in Bacillus subtilis and related genes in other bacteria. The function of this family is unclear although it has been suggested that it may function to switch on efflux pumps and detoxification systems in response to harmful environmental molecules.
Source: Rfam by way of RNAcentral
AACAAAGCUGUCUAGGGUUCCGUUAAUGGUUUUUCCGUUAAGUCUGGACCGAGAGAGAGCGUAUAGUCAGAAGUUGACUAUAUAACACGGAAGGAUAAAAGCCUGGGAGAC